This 395-nucleotide ribosomal RNA is filed under the name uncultured bacterium. RNAcentral describes it as "partial 16S ribosomal RNA". It matches the Rfam family "Bacterial small subunit ribosomal RNA", at positions 523 to 918 of the family's 1533-position model. The record is from RNAcentral.
AUACGUAGGGUGCAAGCGUUAAUCGGAAUUACUGGGCGUAAAGCGUGCGCAGGCGGUUUUUUAAGACAGAGGGGAAAUCCCCCGGCUCAAACCGGGAAAUGCCUUUGUGACUGCAAGGCUAGGGGACGGCCGAGGGGGGUGGAAUUCCCCGUGUAGCCGUGACAUGCGCAGAUAUGCGGAGGAACACCGAUGGCGAAGGCAAUCCCCUGGGCCUGUACUGACGCUCAUGCACGAAAGCGUGGGGAGCAAACAGGAUUAGAUACCCUGGUAGUCCACGCCCUAAACGAUGUCAACUGGUUGUUGGGUCUUCAUUGACUCAGUAACGAAGCUAACGCGUGAAGUUGACCGCCUGGGGAGUACGGCCGCAAGGUUGAAACUCAAAUGAAUUGACGGGG